This 30-nucleotide non-coding RNA is filed under the name Homo sapiens (human). The record is from RNAcentral. Lineage: Eukaryota; Metazoa; Chordata; Mammalia; Primates; Hominidae.
CNCCUGCCACCAUUUCCAGGUCAACAGGAC